AUGGGCAUAGAGAUGGAUGCCAAGUUGGAUGCCGUUCACAAUCUUUUCCCUGGCCCAGCGAGAGAUGCCAAAGUUGGCAAUCAGAGCCAUGACUGGCACAGCAAAAAACCUUUGGAGUGUACGCAGUGAAGAAGGGGAUGUAGAAAGGUUGUUUUUCAGGGUAGUGUUUGAGGGACACCAGCACAGCGUAGCAGAACCAUACGUAAGCAAGCAGCUGCAGACCCAUUAGACCGUACCCUGCAGGGCUGUCAUAAGCAUACAGCACCUCGCCUGGAUCAAAGAACUACAGACACACACGCAGUGGGAGUGGGAACAGGGAAAUCACCGCCCUUGGCAACCCAUCUGUAUGACUGAUGGUUUUAAACCCGUCCAUGGCACAAUCUGUUAGGCUGCAUAAGUGGAAAAUGGCGGAACAUUCCUUAAAUCCAAACAUCUAAGGCUGAAUUAAAGCAAAGGGUGACAUUGAAAGAAGAUGCAACAGGAGCUCUUUAUUGAUACGGCAAGAGCUUAUCUGGGUCAUUCUCUCUAACUGUCUUUCUCUCUCUUUAUCUAUCUGUCUAUCUGCCGGGUUCCAUUACAGCACACUACAGCAGCACAACAUGCUCAAGCUGAGUAACUUCAUCUCACAGCCUUACAUUAUGUAUAGAGUGGAGUAGCUCUCGUAGGCAGCAUGGGAAACUGCAGCUGAUAGGGCUCAAAGAUGACGAGUCCUCCGACUUUAUAUGCAUUAGAUAAUAUGGAAAUUAAUAGACAUUUGAAGACAUUUCUGGUAUGGAAUGUGGUUAUUUAUGCACCUUUCUGUGGUGGUUAUCUAUGGUAUAUUAAUUGCCUGCAUCCAUCAUUUCGACUGAAGUUAUUGAAGCAAAAUUAUAAUCAAAAAUUUUCUGAAAACUAAAUUACAAUAUAACAGUUAAGAAUUUUUUUCCACAUUUUAUUUGGUAACACUUUACUUAAAGCCUUUAUGUAUAAUACAUUAUAACCGGUUAGAAUGGGUACAAUGCAUUAUAAUUAUUCAUAAUGUGUGCUGUAAUAUAUGAUAUCUUGUCGGAAAUAAUUUUAACCGAAUUUAAAAUGCAUAGUGUAACGAUGAAUUGAUGAAUUAAGUGUUAUAAUGUAUUACCUGUUUACAUGACAUUUAUUCAUAAGAUUGUUAAAUGCAUUAUAAGGUGCAUUACAAGGCAUAAUUAAUGCAUUAAAACUAC
This is a long non-coding RNA of Cyprinus carpio carpio, 1202 nucleotides long. NCBI's taxonomy places the organism in Eukaryota, Metazoa, Chordata, Actinopteri, Cypriniformes, Cyprinidae. The record is from Ensembl.